This 1625-nucleotide long non-coding RNA is filed under the name Homo sapiens (human). RNAcentral describes it as "non-protein coding lnc-ZNF236-8:12". Lineage: Eukaryota; Metazoa; Chordata; Mammalia; Primates; Hominidae. The record is from RNAcentral.
AGAUUUCUGCAGAAGAGGAGGACGAAGGUCGCCCACGGACCCUCGGGUGACCUCGGUGCGGCCUGGUGGCCGGGCACACCCGCGCAUGGACGAGGUCCCUCCCAGGGGUCUCCCUGCAGGGGUCUCCGGGGAGGUAGUGGGCACGUGGGUCCUUAACCUCUCCAUUGCAUCAUCCCCAUCCCGGUGGGUACAGAAGCGCAGCAACCCCGCGGUGCUCCCGGAAGACACCGCGUCUCCAACAUUUACACGGAGAUGCUGCUCGGCUCAGGUCGGGUCCGUACGCUUCCCGAGGUGCGUACUACGCGAGCCACACACAUCACUACCGAUAUUCCUGAGAAAGUCGGUGCCACACGCGUGCCCAGGCACCAAGGCCAGAGAAACCGCACGUUUCGAGUCCCCAGUUGCUGAGAAACAAUCACAGCCCUCCUCUUUUCUCCCCCUUCUGCAGGUUCCGACCUGAAUCUGAAAGUGCUUCUAAACCCCAUGCUUCACAGAACGUUCGGAGGGGGAGGCGCUCCGUGGGGGCUGCUGCGUGCCCAUGUAGCCGAACUGACUCGAAUAAAAGCGUGUCCACGUCUACAUCACACAUCUGUGUAAAUGCAGAAGCCUGCGGAUGCGCGGGGCUGGCCAGACUUCACAGUGUGCAGACACAUGGGCUCAUGCACGCGCACGCGCGCGCUCACACACACACCCCAAAUUACCUCCGGGAUGGAGAAAGCCGCUGCGGAUUGGCCAGCAGAGCCGUCACUCACGCCCAGGGGGCAGGGAGACUUCGCAAAGCUGUUUCCUUUUUUUUUUUUCCUCCUCUCCUCCCUACCGUUUCAUUUAAUGGUAAAACAACAGCAGAGCUCUGAAAGUUAGCCAUCUGCGCAGAGUUUGCCUUCUUUAAGGAGGGAGGCGUCAGACGAUAUCCAUUUAAAUAUAUUUUGUACUUCCACAAAGGAUGGAAAGGGAAAUUCACGAAGGGAGUGGAGGCGGAAAGGGAGCUCCGAGAAAGAAGGAGGGGUCAUUCCGCGGGGGGCGGGGGGGGGGGCGGGGGCCGACGCAGGGGAAAGAGUUGCUCUCUACACCGAAAAGGGACUUUGACCUUCCAUUGAUCUCGAAAUUCAAAAACGUUUCUUCACAGGUCAGAUUGUAACAAACACUCGUUCCUAAUUUAUGAACUCGCCGUUUUGAUUUUAUUAUUUAAGCAUGCGCCAGCAAUCGUGUUUCCUUAAGAAAGAACUGACCUAUUUUUGGCUGGAGAUAAACGAUCAUGUUAACAGAUGUUAAUCUUGUAAUCUGUUUUUCCUGUAAGCACUUUACCUAGCCGGGUUUCAGACCUUAAAAAUAACAUCUUUUCCAAAAAGACCUGACGUCACAAUUCACUCCCUGAAAAAUCACACUCCCCCUCCAGUUUCUUCCCCUGCAAUGAUUUCAAAGACAUUAAAUCUUUUCCACUUUAUAAAUGCUGAUCUGUUCUGCCUCUACUCCCACAGGCUCUUAUUUGCAUUUCAAAUUCCACAGGUUACACCAGUCGCCUUUUCAAAAAAUGUAAACCAACAAUGCAGCAGCAAAUGGCUUUUUGUGCAUCUGGAUUAAAUAAAGCACAGAAUGAAUAUAUUUAAAAAGAGGGCUGCGCAAGU